UACGUAGGGUGCGAGCGUUGUCCGGAUUUAUUGGGCGUAAAGAGCUUGUAGGCGGUUUGUCGCGUCUGCUGUGAAAACUCGGGGCUUAACCCCGGGCCUGCAGUGGGUACGGGCAGACUAGAGUGCGGUAGGGGAGACUGGAAUUCCUGGUGUAGCGGUGAAAUGCGCAGAUAUCAGGAGGAACACCGGUGGCGAAGGCGGGUCUCUGGGCCGUAACUGACGCUGAGGAGCGAAAGCGUGGGGAGCGAACAGG
This 253-nucleotide ribosomal RNA is filed under the name uncultured bacterium. Its description in RNAcentral is "partial 16S ribosomal RNA". It matches the Rfam family "Bacterial small subunit ribosomal RNA", at positions 524 to 776 of the family's 1533-position model. The record is from RNAcentral.